GACGGUGCGGCUGGAAGACGUCGUGGAUGAAGACGGCGGCUUCGGCUCGCGAUCAGAUUGAAAGUUGGUCGAUCGUGAUCGGGGUGGUCGUUGCAGACUCAAGCUGGAGCAGCAACGAUGAUGGUGAAAAUCAUGGUGGACUUAGAUAUGUUAAUGGAUACGGUUUGUUUCAGGUUGCGUGAUUGCGAAGUUGCAGGCGGCGGCCUUGGGCGAAACGUGCUGCAGCUGCAGGCGUGCGUGGUAAGGAGUCAUUACGGGCCGAUGAAGAUCAGGCAAGGAGAAAAUUGCACGCUUGCAUGCAUGGAUGAAACCGGCCAGAAUUGGGACUCCGACUUCGUGUAGAAAUUGGCCACCUGGUGGGCCCCACAGUGCAUGGCUUGCCAAUUGGUGGAUGUGUGCGUCUGGGAAAGGAAAAAAACAAAAGGAAUCCCUGCGUACAAGGAAAUAGGCCAAUCGCGGGUCUCUUA
Long non-coding RNA from Panicum virgatum (switchgrass), 467 nucleotides. RefSeq lists it as uncharacterized. The record is from RefSeq and is a predicted model, not a curated record. Lineage: Eukaryota; Viridiplantae; Streptophyta; Magnoliopsida; Poales; Poaceae. The transcript has 2 exons.